AGAGAGUGGCCAUGCGCUCGCAGCGCGCGCUCACUGGGUCUUGUGGUUUCCGGUCUGGUCCAAUCACCGCGCGAGGAGCAGAGCUCGUCUCAUUCAAACACAAACAGUCUGAACGCGUUCUCCUCCUGGACGGAACCAUGCGGUUCCCCGGUUCGGUUCUGGUCUUCGUUCUGCUCGUUUUCUACGUUUCCGGGUCAUCAGGUGUGUAUACUAGCGGUACACACGUGGAGCACAUGACUAAAGUGUUGAUUAUCAAAGAUGCAGAUCUGAAGAUCAUCACUGCUGCACCUGGAGAGGAUGUCAUUCUGACAUUUGAAGCUCCAGAAAACAUGAUAGCUUUGGAGUGGACCAGACUCGACUUCCAGGAGGGAGAAUAUGUGUUUGUAUACAGGAAUGGUGGUAUUAAUCUAGACGAGCAGCAUGAAUCCUUCAAGAAUCGAGUGUUUCUGAAUAUCAGUCAGAUGAAGAAUGGAGAUCUGUCUGUGGUUCUGAAGAACGUGACGGUUAAUGACAGCGGAACAUACCAGUUUUCAGGCAUACGAGAGCAUGAUCCAGAUAGAGAAAUGAUUCCGAUUGGCAGAGUCCGUCUGUCGGUGAUUCCUCCAGGGGACAAAGAUGAAGUCGGUCAUGGUCGUCUUGGUCUGAUCCCUCUGUCAGGUCUCCUACUUCUUACUUUUGUUGUCCUUGCUGUUGGUCUCUGGAUCUGCUGGACAAAAAAAGAUUCUAACCAAAGUUCCACAGGUUCCAACAACCAGCGGGGUGUUGAACUUGUGCCUCUUAACUCAGAUUCUAAAGCAGACGAAAGCAUGGCAGUUUCUCUAGUCUGA
Molecule: long non-coding RNA, 827 nt
Filed under: Oryzias javanicus (javanese ricefish)
Lineage: Eukaryota; Metazoa; Chordata; Actinopteri; Beloniformes; Adrianichthyidae
Description: lncRNA (ENSOJAG00000004309.1)
Source: RNAcentral